Molecule: unclassified non-coding RNA, 2027 nt
Filed under: Hevea brasiliensis (rubber tree)
Lineage: Eukaryota; Viridiplantae; Streptophyta; Magnoliopsida; Malpighiales; Euphorbiaceae
Source: RNAcentral
CUCUUCCAAAACUUCAUGAAACACUGUAUUUUAAUUUGUCUUUCUCCUCCCAAUAACAACUUUUAGUAUCUUUUUUAUUCAACAAAUUCAAUUAAUAGCCAUAUAUCACUCUACAUUUUCCUAAUUUAAGAAUUUUUAUGUGAUAUAACAAAAUCAAAGCCACAAAUCAGUAUUAUACAACUGUAACACAAUAAUGUUAAAAAAUGACCAACAAUAUUUUCAAAACCAUGUCCACAAUUGCACAGACAAAAACUAACUCAUUGAAUCUCGCAAUUAAUGAGCAUUAGAUCCCCAAAUAUGUCACUCCAUGUUUGUCUUAUGUUUCCUAUUUGCAAAAAAACAAACAUUGUAUCUUCUUUUCUAGUGCUUUGCCAAUUUACAUGAUAUCAAGUCUCUCAUAAUAAGUUUUUGAAUCCCAAUGACAAGAUACUGUAUUGCUCUGUGCUCAUCUAGUCUAACUGAUAAGAGCAGAUCCAGACAUCUCAAUUCAAAUAAUUGCUAAUACAAGGAACUGGCCUAAUACAACUUUACAUUAUACUGUGAAUCCUUUGUCUAAUAGUUUGAAAUGAUUUUGUUAACAUAUAAUAGAUGAAUCUCCUACGGUUAGUAGUUUUUGACAGCAGUGCAUUUAUUGGUGCAUCAAUUAAGAUUGCACACAAUCCACUGCCAUUCACUUGAUCCGGCCUGAACCAAAUUUUGCUUUGCCACUGAGAUCCCAACAUAGCUCAUGAACUAUUCUCAAAUAGUAAUCAACUAAUGCAAUUAUAUUUUUCCCAUGUCCCAAACAGAAUACCCCUCCCAAACUUCUUGAUGGGGAAGUAGUUUUGUGUAGAAAUUUGACUUUCAAUUAAGAUCUUUAUGCAACAAUUCAAGUUGCACGAUAUCACUUCAGUGCUUUAUGUUCCUGUUUAGAAAAAAAUGUGAUACUAUAAAUCGCUUAAAGUUCUUGACAAGAAGGAAGGAUCACAAAUUAAAAAACUGUGAUUCCAACUCAAAAACGUCAAGGAAAGUUAGGUAUGGGAAACUGUGAUUACAACCCUAUUUUAAAAACCGGAAACUGCAAAAAAAUUCUGAAUCAUGCAGAGAAUAAAUACCAUAUUCACCAAACUGAUUUUCUAUAUUAAAUAAAAUAAAAGUUUAGACAAGUGAUGAUCACUGUAGACGUAGAGGGACAUUCUAGUUGGAGAACUAAACCAUGAGGCAACUGAAUGGUAAAUGCUGUAUGAAUUUCUUGAAUCUAAACAAGAUUAAUGCAGUAAAAUGCGGAGGUUUGAACCUAACAAAAUCCGAGUUCAUCAUUAAAGUUCCUGAGAUUUGGAAGGAGAUGCAACUAAGUGUAUUCCACUAGAAACUUAUAGGUGCACCAAAAGAUUACAAGUAUGGUCAAACAGAUUAGCUCCCUCAAAAUAUCAUGCCUUUUAACAGAAAAGACAGGGGAGGGGACGUCACAAAUUUGCUUAUUGUGCUAGUGAAAAACAUACAUUUACACAACAUUGUUCUUAGAAUCUUACGAUUUGAUUUGAUUUGAUUUCCCAUCCUAAUGAUUCAAACCUAUGGGGUGAAUCAUAAAUGUACCUGAAUCAUAACCGAAUCUUACGAUUUGAGGUGAAUCAAUAUAAAUUUACUGAUUUAGUCAUUUUUUUUGUUAGAUCCUAUAGCUUCAAAAUUUUAGAUUUCACUUUAUUUUUACUGUGAAAAGUGCACAUAAAACCAUCCCUUAGUUAUUUUUCUUCCACUAGCCAUCUUUUCCCUUUCCAUCUCCCUCUUCUUUCAUUUUUUUUUUCCUUUAAUGUACUUCUAUAAUUAUGGUUAUCAAAUUAUGACAUUUUAUAUUAACAUAAAGGUUGUCAAAAGCUAGGUGCACUUAAGGCGAGAAGGCCCUCCAUCAUCCGAGGCGCUAGGAGCUCAUCCAAGCGAAAUGAGGUGCUAAUUUAUUGUAAAAUAGUAAAUAACUAAAUAUACAAUGUAAAAAAGUCUAAUAUAUUACACAAUCAAUAAAUUGCCAAAUUUCAUAUUCAUAUUUCAUA